This 345-nucleotide unclassified non-coding RNA is filed under the name soil metagenome. RNAcentral describes it as "partial contains 5.8S ribosomal RNA, internal transcribed spacer 2, and large subunit ribosomal RNA". The stretch from base 1 to 120 matches the Rfam family "5.8S ribosomal RNA", at positions 35 to 154 of the family's 154-position model. The record is from RNAcentral.
GAUGAAGAACGCAGCGAAAUGCGAUAAGUAAUGUGAAUUGCAGAGUUCAGUGAAUCAUCGAGUCUUUGAACGCACAUUGCGCCCCCUGGUAUUCCGGGGGGCAUGCCUGUCCGAGCGUCAUUGCUGCCCUCAAGCACGGCUUGUGUGUUGGGCCUCCGUCCUCCUCCCGGGGGACGGGCCCGAAAGGCAGCGGCGGCACCGCGUCCGGUCCUCGAGCGUAUGGGGCUUCGUCACCCGCUCUUGUAGGCCCGGCCGGCGCUUGCCGACACAUCAAUCUUUUUUCCAGGUUGACCUCGGAUCAGGUAGGGAUACCCGCUGAACUUAAGCAUAUCAAUAAGCGGAGGA